RNAcentral lists this ribosomal RNA (226 nucleotides) under uncultured bacterium. RNAcentral describes it as "partial 16S ribosomal RNA". It matches the Rfam family "Bacterial small subunit ribosomal RNA", at positions 15 to 230 of the family's 1533-position model. The record is from RNAcentral.
GAUCCUGGCUCAGGAUGAACGCUAGCUACAGGCUUAACACAUGCAAGUCGAGGGGCAGCAUGGUCUUAGCUUGCUAAGACUGAUGGCGACCGGCGCACGGGUGAGUAACACGUAUCCAACCUGCCGUCUACUCUUGGACAGCCUUCUGGAAGGAAGAUUAAUACAAGAUGGCAUCAUGAGUCCGCAUGUUCACAUGAUUAAAGGUAUUUUCCGGUAGACGAUGGGG